GCCCAAGCUGUCGGCGGAGACGCCUGGGGGCCAGGACAUCGUGUCGUUGUGCACCUUCUGUUUUUCCAGUUCGGCUUUAGGAAGAGGAAGCUCCAUCAGCACGUCCCCAGGAAGCUGGUUUGUUGGGAAAGGGGUGAGAGCAGCACUCCAGGAGGUGGCCAAUGAACCUACUAUGCGGGAUUUCGGCUGGACUUUUCCUGACCAAGCCAGGGGCUUAAUGUUACCAAGCAGGUUGCAGGCAGGAGGCUGUCACCUGCUUGACAGAAAUCCUUGGGGCAAAUGCCAUCUCCAUGUGGAGGCAGCAAUGAAAGCAUGAAGGAUCUGAGCUGACGUUACAGUGAGAGUGUCCCCCCUUCCUGGCACUCAGGCAAGGAUGCUCCCCAGAUGAUGGACACGGGGACCCUCCCCAGAUGACAGACACGGGGACCCUCCCCAGAUGACGGACACGGGGACCCUCCCCAGAUGACGGACACGGGGACCCUCCCCAGAUGACGGACACGGGGACCCUGCCAGAUGACGGACACAUGGACCCUCCUCAGAUGACGGACACAUGGACCCUCCCCAGAUGACGGACACAUGGACCCUCCCCAGAUGACAGACACAUGGACCCUCCCAGA
RNAcentral lists this long non-coding RNA (617 nucleotides) under Homo sapiens (human). Its description in RNAcentral is "HSALNT0000269". Lineage: Eukaryota; Metazoa; Chordata; Mammalia; Primates; Hominidae. The record is from RNAcentral.